Oncorhynchus tshawytscha (Chinook salmon) is the source of this 2104-nucleotide long non-coding RNA. The record is from Ensembl. NCBI's taxonomy places the organism in Eukaryota, Metazoa, Chordata, Actinopteri, Salmoniformes, Salmonidae.
GGAAGCACCUGAGGCUGAGGCUUCUGCCGCUGUGGAAGCACCUGAGGCUGAGGCUUCUGCCGCUGUGGAAGCACCUGAGGCUGAGGCUUCUGCCGAGGAGGGACCAAUAGUAGAGGAAAUUUCCCCAGAAGAGGCUGCCCCAGUCGAAGAGGCAGCGCCAGUUGAGGCAGAGUUACAUGCAGCCGAAGAGGUAGCAGUAGUAGUGGAGGAAGCCCCAGUGGAGGAAGCCCCAGUGGAGAAAGCCCCAGUGGAAGAACCAGCAGCAGAGGAACCAGCAGCAGAGGAACCAGCAGCAGAGGAACCAGCAGCAGAGGAACCAGCAGCAGAGGAACCAGCAGCAGAGGAACCAGCAGCAGAGGAACCACCGGCGGCAAAGGAGGCUGUGGCGACAGCCCAAGUGUCUGAGGAUGAGGCGCUCGUCGUGGAGGCGGUGAUGCUGGCAGCAGCCUCAGCCCUGGAUGUCGAGGCAGAGGCAGCCCCGGCUGAGGAAGUCAAGGAGGCCCUCUUCACUUCAUGCCACCAAUGUGAAGCCCCAGCUUCUGAGGCUGAUGUGGCAGUCACCCCCAUGGAGGUUGUAGAGGCUGCAUCUGUGGGGGAAGUAGAGGCUCCCCCUGCUGGUGUGGAGGAGGCAGUCGUCGAGGGUGAGGCAGUGGAGGUGACCGCAGAGGAGCGCGCCUCCGAUUGGCCUGCUGAGGUGACCGAGGCAGUGGAGGAAGCCAAGGUGGAAGGUGCACAGAGUAUGAGCCUGAUGUUGCUGACAGCCCAGUCCUGACUGGAGACCAGCGAGAUGUGCCUUCUGGAACAGUCAGCACCCACAGCUGUCAAUCAAACAGGACGAUCAACAUAAAACACACACAGAAUUAGAACUGGUUUGAAUUGAAUUCUAUAAUUCUAUUUAACUCAUUAUAUAUUUAAAUGUUGUCUAAUGACAACAGUUGUCAACCCGGUAACUACAUUCCCGGUUCUCACUCAGUUUCUUGGUCUUGUAUUAUCCCUACCCAUGGUGAGGUGACACUUCUGUAAGGGUUUGAAGUCUGACUUUAUUCCUAGGCUCAGACCCAAAUGACACCUUAUACCCUAUAUAGUGCACUACUUUUGACCAGGGCCUGGGGGAAUAGGGUGCCAUUUGGGAUGGAUUUCAACUAUUUAUCAGUACCACCCUGUUCCCCAAGGUGGCACUGUUACCAAGCUGACGAAGACCACUUGAAUGUAUUUGAAGUUACUUGAUAAAUUAUUGUGUACUUGACAUUGCCUAAUGAAUUCUGACUAUUUUUUUUUUGAUUCAAUGAAAUAAGAUCUGAAUUGUUGUAUUAAACAGUAGGCCAUUAGACAACAUGUAGAUGGUUGUGUUCUUCAGAGACUGUUGAGUUAGUUCUGCAUGGAGUUUUUUUUAUUCAAUCAGGGAACAUCUAGAUUAAGUUUAGUUCUCAAGCCAGUAGACUGUUGGUAGACAGUGUUGUACCCAUGUGAUGUAAAAAAUAAAAUGUUAUUUUUUUCAGUCCAAUAAUAAUUUAUGUAAUAGCUUUGCAGGUGGGGUGGGGUGGUUGUGUGUGACACAGUAUGGAAAGACUAGUUGUCCAAACUAUCCUAUGGUUAUAUAUUCAUGUUGCUUGUGUAUAUUUUGUAUAGAAAGACUAGUUUGAAGAUCCAAACUAACAAUAUCCUGUCACUAUAGCCAUGUGUAUAUUUUGUAUAGAAAGACUAGUUUGAAGAUCCAAACUAACAAUAUCCUGUCACUAUAGCCAUGUGUAUAUUUUGUAUAGAAAGACUAGUUUGAAGAUCCAAACUAACAAUAUCCUGUCACUUAUUUAAGUCAUUAUGUAAGUGCUAAAACAGUUACUAUGAUGUCAUACUCAGAAACGUGUCAUAUGUUGUAUUUCUAAAUGAAAUGGAGCGUUACGCUUAUUCAGAACGGACAAGUGGACUGUCCACUUUUGACUUUGAACUUCAUUGACAUGAUUCCAUAUGUAAUUAUGAGAUUCAAUUUGGAGAGCCCUUUUUUUUAAUGGAUGAAAUGAUCAAUUCAAUAAUUUUUUAUUAUGUAUAGUAUCUGUUAUUGUGAAGACAAAUUCUUUGUAAAUAAAUCAAGGUGAUUUAAACUGUU